RNAcentral lists this ribosomal RNA (433 nucleotides) under uncultured bacterium. RNAcentral describes it as "partial 16S ribosomal RNA". It matches the Rfam family "Bacterial small subunit ribosomal RNA", at positions 29 to 507 of the family's 1533-position model. The record is from RNAcentral.
AACGAACGCUGGCGGCAUGCCUAACACAUGCAAGUCGAGCGAGUCCUUCGGGUCUAGUGGCGCACGGGUCCGUAACGCGUUGGAAUCUGCCCUUCGGUUGGGAAUAACUGAGAGAAAUUUCAGCUAAUACCUUAUAAUGUCUUCGGACCAAAGAUUUAUCGCCGAGGGAUGAGCCCGCGUAGGAUUAGGUAGUUGGUGGGGUAAUGGGCUACCACUCCGACGAUCCUUAACUGGUCUGAGAGGAUGAUCAGCCACACUGGUACUGAGACACGGCCCAGACUCCUACGGGAGGGAGCAGUGGGGAAUAUUGGACAAUGGGCGAAAGCCUGAACCAGCAAUGCCGCGUGAGUGAUGAAGGCCUUAGGGUUGGAAAGCUCUUUUACCCGGGAUUAUAAUGACAUUACCGGGAGAAUAAGCUCCGGCUAACUCCGUG